This 468-nucleotide ribosomal RNA is filed under the name uncultured bacterium. RNAcentral's name for it is "partial 16S ribosomal RNA". It matches the Rfam family "Bacterial small subunit ribosomal RNA", at positions 28 to 507 of the family's 1533-position model. The record is from RNAcentral.
GACGAACGCUGGCGGCGUGCCUAACACAUGCAAGUCGAACGGACAGGCCCUGCUCUUGUGGGGCGCUCGUGUGGCGAACGGGUGAGUAAAACGCGAGUAUCCUGCCCCUGUCUUUGUGAUAUCUCUAGGAGACUGGGGCUCUUACCCGAUAUGAUCUCCUGCUGCACGGUGGGGGUUGGUAAGAUUCGGCGGUUGGGGCUGGUCUCGCGGGUUAUCCGCUUGUUGGUCAGGUUGGUGCUUACCAAGCCUUUGACGCGUAGCCGGCCUUGGAGGGUGACCGGCGACAUUGGGACUGAGAUACGGCCCAGAAUCCUACGGGACGCAGCAGUGGGGAGUAUUGCACAAUGGGCGGAAGCCUGAGACAGAAGCGCUGCGAGCGGGAUGACGUCCUAUGGGUUGUAAACCACUUUCGCAUGUGACAAAGCGUGAGUGACGGUAAUGAGUAAAGAAGCACCGGCUAACUACGUG